GACGAACGCUGGCGGCGCGCCUAACACAUGCAAGUCGAACGAGAGAUGAGGAGCUUGCUCUUCAAAUCGAGUGGCGAACGGGUGAGUAACGCGUGAGGAACCUGCCUCAAAGAGGGGGACAACAGUUGGAAACGACUGCUAAUACCGCAUAAGCCCACGGGCUCGGCAUCGAGCAGAGGGAAAAGGAGCAAUCCGCUUUGAGAUGGCCUCGCGUCCGAUUAGCUAGUUGGUGAGGUAAUGGCCCACCAAGGCGACGAUCGGUAGCCGGACUGAGAGGUUGAACGGCCACAUUGGGACUGAGACACGGGCCCCAGACUCCUACGGGACGGCAGCAGUGGGGAAUAUUGCACAAUGGGGGGAAACCCCUGAUGCAGCGACGCCGCGUGGAGGAAGAAGGUCUUCGGGAUUGG
Molecule: ribosomal RNA, 410 nt
Filed under: uncultured bacterium
Lineage: Bacteria
Description: bacterial SSU rRNA
Rfam family: Bacterial small subunit ribosomal RNA
Source: RNAcentral